GAUGAACGCUGGCGGCGUGCCUAAUACAUGCAAGUCGAGCGAACGGACGAGAAGCUUGCUUCUCUGAUGUUAGCGGCGGACGGGAGAGUAACACGUGGAUAACCUACCUAUAAGACUGGGAUAACUUCGGGAAACCGGAGCUAAUACCGGAUAAUAUUUUGAACCGCAUGGUUCAAAAGUGAAUUACGGUCUUGCUGUCACUUAUAGACGGAUCCGCACUGCUUUAGCUAGUUGGUAAGGUAACGGCUUACCAAGGCAACGGUGCAUAGCCGACCAGAGAGGGUGAUCGGCCACACUGGAACUGAGGCACGGUCCAGACUCCUACGGGACGCAGCAGUAGGGAAUCUUCCGCAAUGGGCGAAAGCCUGACGGAGCAACGCCGCGUGAGUGAUGAAGGUCUUCGGAUCGUAAAACUCUGUUAUUAGGGUAGAACAUAUGUGUAAGUAACUGUGCACAUCUUGACGGUACCUAAUCAGAAAGCCACGGCUAACUACGUG
RNAcentral lists this ribosomal RNA (497 nucleotides) under uncultured bacterium. RNAcentral describes it as "partial 16S ribosomal RNA". It matches the Rfam family "Bacterial small subunit ribosomal RNA", at positions 28 to 507 of the family's 1533-position model. The record is from RNAcentral.